UCAGACGAUGCGUCAUGCAUAUCAAUAAGCGGAGGAAAAGAAACUAACAAGGAUUCCCCUAGUAACGGCGAGUGAAGCGGGAAGAGCUCAAAUUUGAAAUCUUAAAGGGUUUCCCUUUACGAAUUGUAGUUUAAAGAAGUGUUUUCUGUUGAGGUUUUGGUAAAAGUUCUUUGGAAUAGGACAUCAUAGAGGGUGAGAAUCCCGUAUUUGACCUUUACUUUCAACUUUGUGAUACACUUUCAAAGAGUCGGAUUGUUUGGGAAUGCAGUCCAAAAUGGGUGGUAAAUUUCAUCUAAAGCUAAAUAUUGGCGAGAGACCGAUAGCGAACAAGUACCGUGAGGGAAAGAUGAAAAGAACUUUGAAAAGAGAGUUAAACAGUACGUGAAAUUGUCAAAAGGGAAGCGUUUGACACCAGUGUUGUUUUUCUGAAAAUCAAUUAAAGAACUGUUUAUGCUAAGUUGUUUAGACUUUAUCAGCUAACUGUUUAGUUUUGAGCUUUUCUUUAAUGCACUUUUCAGUUAACAAGUCAACAUCAAUUUCUUUUGCUGUAAAAAGCUUGAGGAAGGUGGCUUGAGAUUCGUCUUAAGUGUUUAUAGCCUCUUGCCUAUGCAGUCGGAGAGAUUGAGGUCUGCAGCGUAGAUCCUUCGGGGCUAAAUGCAUUUGUGCUAAGUUAUAGCAUUUUAUAGACAACUUGUUGACUAUGAUUUGUCUUGUAGCUUACUCGCUUAUGUUAUUUUACCUACGCUUAGGAUGUUGAAUCUGUGCGAGACUAC
Molecule: ribosomal RNA, 773 nt
Filed under: uncultured Neocallimastigales
Lineage: Eukaryota; Fungi; Neocallimastigomycota; Neocallimastigomycetes; Neocallimastigales
Description: partial large subunit ribosomal RNA
Rfam family: Eukaryotic large subunit ribosomal RNA
Source: RNAcentral